UGGAGGAAUUGUUAGUGUUGUCAACGUGGAUUGAAAGUUUCAAGCUAAUAGAGUUGAUGUUGUGAUUACAGUGUCGAGAGCGUCAAGAUGGUUUCAUAACAAGGAACAUAGACGAACAGGAAGUUGAUAAAAGAAGGAGAGCAGGACGUGUACAUUUACUUCGAGUUCAUUUACUCUGACACUACCACAUUAGAGUAGGAGACAGUUUUCGUAGAUUGUGUUAUUUAUUCUCGUCUGAAUAUAAUAGAAUAAAUCUUCAAACGUUGCUAUCUCUAA
This is a long non-coding RNA of Pocillopora damicornis (cauliflower coral), 276 nucleotides long. The record is from RefSeq and is a predicted model, not a curated record. NCBI's taxonomy places the organism in Eukaryota, Metazoa, Cnidaria, Anthozoa, Scleractinia, Pocilloporidae.